RNAcentral lists this ribosomal RNA (1838 nucleotides) under Escherichia coli. Its description in RNAcentral is "partial 23S ribosomal RNA". It matches the Rfam family "Bacterial large subunit ribosomal RNA", at positions 312 to 2136 of the family's 2925-position model. The record is from RNAcentral. Lineage: Bacteria; Pseudomonadati; Pseudomonadota; Gammaproteobacteria; Enterobacterales; Enterobacteriaceae.
CUGAAUCAGUGUGUGUGUUAGUGGAAGCGUCUGGAAAGGCGCGCGAUACAGGGUGACAGCCCCGUACACAAAAAUGCACAUGCUGUGAGCUCGAUGAGUAGGGCGGGACACGUGGUAUCCUGUCUGAAUAUGGGGGGACCAUCCUCCAAGGCUAAAUACUCCUGACUGACCGAUAGUGAACCAGUACCGUGAGGGAAAGGCGAAAAGAACCCCGGCGAGGGGAGUGAAAAAGAACCUGAAACCGUGUACGUACAAGCAGUGGGAGCACAGAGCAAUCUGUGUGACUGCGUACCUUUUGUAUAAUGGGUCAGCGACUUAUAUUCUGUAGCAAGGUUAACCGAAUAGGGGAGCCGAAGGGAAACCGAGUCUUAACUGGGCGUUAAGUUGCAGGGUAUAGACCCGAAACCCGGUGAUCUAGCCAUGGGCAGGUUGAAGGUUGGGUAACACUAACUGGAGGACCGAACCGACUAAUGUUGAAAAAUUAGCGGAUGACUUGUGGCUGGGGGUGAAAGGCCAAUCAAACCGGGAGAUAGCUGGUUCUCCCCGAAAGCUAUUUAGGUAGCGCCUCGUGAAUUCAUCUCCGGGGGUAGAGCACUGUUUCGGCAAGGGGGUCAUCCCGACUUACCAACCCGAUGCAAACUGCGAAUACCGGAGAAUGUUAUCACGGGAGACACACGGCGGGUGCUAACGUCCGUCGUGAAGAGGGAAACAACCCAGACCGCCAGCUAAGGUCCCAAAGUCAUGGUUAAGUGGGAAACGAUGUGGGAAGGCCCAGACAGCCAGGAUGUUGGCUUAGAAGCAGCCAUCAUUUAAAGAAAGCGUAAUAGCUCACUGGUCGAGUCGGCCUGCGCGGAAGAUGUAACGGGGCUAAACCAUGCACCGAAGCUGCGGCAGCGACGCUUAUGCGUUGUUGGGUAGGGGAGCGUUCUGUAAGCCUGUGAAGGUGUACUGUGAGGUAUGCUGGAGGUAUCAGAAGUGCGAAUGCUGACAUAAGUAACGAUAAAGCGGGUGAAAAGCCCGCUCGCCGGAAGACCAAGGGUUCCUGUCCAACGUUAAUCGGGGCAGGGUGAGUCGACCCCUAAGGCGAGGCCGAAAGGCGUAGUCGAUGGGAAACAGGUUAAUAUUCCUGUACUUGGUGUUACUGCGAAGGGGGGACGGAGAAGGCUAUGUUGGCCGGGCGACGGUUGUCCCGGUUUAAGCGUGUAGGCUGGUUUUCCAGGCAAAUCCGGAAAAUCAAGGCUGAGGCGUGAUGACGAGGCACUACGGUGCUGAAGCAACAAAUGCCCUGCUUCCAGGAAAAGCCUCUAAGCAUCAGGUAACAUCAAAUCGUACCCCAAACCGACACAGGUGGUCAGGUAGAGAAUACCAAGGCGCUUGAGAGAACUCGGGUGAAGGAACUAGGCAAAAUGGUGCCGUAACUUCGGGAGAAGGCACGCUGAUAUGUAGGUGAAGUCCCUCGCGGAUGGAGCUGAAAUCAGUCGAAGAUACCAGCUGGCUGCAACUGUUUAUUAAAAACACAGCACUGUGCAAACACGAAAGUGGACGUAUACGGUGUGACGCCUGCCCGGUGCCGGAAGGUUAAUUGAUGGGGUCAGCGCAAGCGAAGCUCUUGAUCGAAGCCCCGGUAAACGGCGGCCGUAACUAUAACGGUCCUAAGGUAGCGAAAUUCCUUGUCGGGUAAGUUCCGACCUGCACGAAUGGCGUAAUGAUGGCCAGGCUGUCUCCACCCGAGACUCAGUGAAAUUGAACUCGCUGUGAAGAUGCAGUGUACCCGCGGCAAGACGGAAAGACCCCGUGAACCUUUACUAUAGCUUGACACUGAACAUUGAGCCUUGAUG